Molecule: long non-coding RNA, 219 nt
Organism: Labeo rohita (rohu)
Lineage: Eukaryota; Metazoa; Chordata; Actinopteri; Cypriniformes; Cyprinidae
Exons: 3
Source: RefSeq, a predicted model, not a curated record
AGGCCUCGAACACCCAGAGUCACAUCAGGACAGCACAGCAAAUCCCACACUACACAUUACGUCUGUAAAUGUAAUUUACCAGCCUUCAGAUGCUUUGAUGAAUGAACAACAGAAACAGCGAAACACAGGAAAAUGAGAAUGCAUAUCACCUGUACUCCACAAUCCCUGAAAACCAGUUCACUCAAACACAGAAGAUUAAGCCUACAGUUUGGUGAAGGU